GCCCCUCCUCCCUCCCGGAGCGGCGCGGUGCAUGCCGCCGGCGAGGCGGAAGCGGAAGACGAAUGAGAAAAUAAGGGGGCGGGGCGCCGUGACCUCUGACCCGCGCGCACGUGGCCGGCGGCGGCGCACGCGGAGCGGCGGGAAGGAGCCAUGGAGCAGCGGCCUCUUCCCGGCGCGGCGGCGGCGGCGCCGGAGCCGGAGGAGCCGGGCACGGAAAGCGACGACCUGACAGACAGCGAGGAGAGCGUCUACUCCGGCCUGGAGGACUCGGGCAGUGACAGCAGUACCGAGGAGGAGGAGGAGGAGGAGGAAGAGGAGCCGAAGGACAGUCCGCCCUCGCAGGCGCACGAAAUUACUUUGGAACUUCAUUUAAACAUCUGACCUCCCAGCUGAUGCCAUUUUGCUCCAACAUCACUUGUGCCUUGCUGGCAGUGUGGACAUCUGACCUGGUGCCUGCAAAGCCUCAUGCUCGUCCUGAUCGGAUUUUCAGCCUUGUGUUACAGAAGACUUUGCUCUUUGGGAAUUGGCCUGUGACUGGGCACAUCAGUCAGGUCAAAGGGGCUCCUAGGAAGAGCAGAAACUUAGAGGCUGAUYCAGCGUUGAAGGAAAACCAGCAUCUGCUUCUUCAGAACGAAUAUGAGCAAGACAGCUCAGAUGAAGAGGCGCCCAGCUAAGAUACGAGCUAUGGUUCUUGUCCCUGCCUCGGAGCUCGGCUCAGGUGACCAGAGUGGGUGGUAUCUAACGGUGCUGUCUUGCAGCUCCAGCUCUCUGGACUGUCUCCGGAGCUGGGCCUUGGUCCAGCRUGCUCUGCUGAGAUGCCGUAGCCGGGCAGCAGGGAACCCGUGGUAGGAARCCGUGCGAGGAAGCCCUUUGCAGUGCCACUUCAGCAGCCCCGGCGGCUGUUCUGACUAGGAAUCCCCCAAAAUAAAUAAACUGAUAAAUGCUUUAAAGAAAUCCUG
Molecule: long non-coding RNA, 959 nt
Filed under: Apteryx rowi (Okarito brown kiwi)
Lineage: Eukaryota; Metazoa; Chordata; Aves; Apterygiformes; Apterygidae
Description: lncRNA (ENSARWG00000007062.1)
Source: RNAcentral